AUACGGAGGGUGCAAGCGUUAUUCGGAAUCACUGGGCGUAAAGGACGCGUAGGCGGGUUUGUAAGUCAGGUGUGAAAUCCUACAGCUUAACUGUAGAACUGCACUUGAAACUACAGACCUAGAGUAUGGGAGGGGCAGAUGGAAUUAGUGGUGUAGGGGUAAAAUCCGUAGAUAUCACUAGGAAUACCGAAAGCGAAGGCGAUCUGCUGGAACAUAACUGACGCUAAGGCGUGAAAGCGUGGGGAGCAAACAGGAUUAGAAACCCGGGUAGUCC
Molecule: ribosomal RNA, 274 nt
Filed under: uncultured bacterium
Lineage: Bacteria
Description: partial 16S ribosomal RNA
Rfam family: Bacterial small subunit ribosomal RNA
Source: RNAcentral